RNAcentral lists this ribosomal RNA (425 nucleotides) under uncultured bacterium. RNAcentral describes it as "bacterial SSU rRNA". It matches the Rfam family "Bacterial small subunit ribosomal RNA", at positions 356 to 773 of the family's 1533-position model. The record is from RNAcentral.
AGGGAAUCUUCCGCAAUGGACGAAAGUCUGACGGAGCAACGCCGCGUGAGUGAAGAAGGCCUUCGGGUCGUAAAACUCUGUUGCCGGGGAAGAACAAGUGCCGUUCGAACAGGGCGGCGCCUUGACGGUACCCGGCCAGAAAGCCACGGCUAACUACGUGCCAGCAGCCGCGGUAAUACGUAGGUGGCAAGCGUUGUCCGGAAUUAUUGGGCGUAAAGCGCGCGCAGGCGGCUGUUUAAGUCUGGUGUAUAAUCCUGGGGCUCAACUCCGAGUCGCACUGGAAACUGGAUGGCUUGAGUGCAGAAGAGGAGAGUGGAAUUCCACGUGUAGCGGUGAAAUGCGUAGAGAUUAGGAAGAAUACCAGUGGCGAAGGCGGCUUUCUGGACUGUAACUGACGCUGAGGCAUGAAAGCGUGGGGAGCAAAC